RNAcentral lists this ribosomal RNA (463 nucleotides) under uncultured bacterium. Its description in RNAcentral is "partial 16S ribosomal RNA". It matches the Rfam family "Bacterial small subunit ribosomal RNA", at positions 28 to 506 of the family's 1533-position model. The record is from RNAcentral.
GACGAACGCUGGCGGCGUGCUUAACACAUGCAAGUCGAACGGUAAGGCCCUUUCGGGGGUACACGAGUGGCGCACGGGUGAGUAACACGUGGGUGAUCUGCCCUGCACUUUGGGAUAAGCCUGGGAAACUGGGUCUAAUACCGGAUAGGACUACGCGAUGCAUGUCGUGUGGUGGAAAGCUUUUGCGGUGUGGGAUGGGCCCGCGGCCUAUCAGCUUGUUGGUGGGGUGAUGGCCUACCAAGGCGACGACGGGUAGCCGGCCUGAGAGGGUGUCCGGCCACACUGGGACUGAGAUACGGCCCAGACUCCUACGGGAGGCAGCAGUGGGGAAUAUUGCACAAUGGGCGCAAGCCUGAUGCAGCGACGCCGCGUGGGGGAUGACGGCCUUCGGGUUGUAAACCCCUUUCAGCACAGACGAAGCGUAAGUGACGGUAUGUGCAGAAGAAGCACCGGCCAACUACGU